Molecule: transfer RNA, 65 nt
Filed under: Cleisthenes herzensteini (sohachi)
Lineage: Eukaryota; Metazoa; Chordata; Actinopteri; Pleuronectiformes; Pleuronectidae
Description: tRNA-Cys
Source: RNAcentral
GCUCUGGGGUGUUACAUAUUAGAUUGCAAAUCUGAAGAAGCAGGCUAAUCGCCUGCCGGGGCUUU